This 834-nucleotide ribosomal RNA is filed under the name uncultured bacterium. RNAcentral describes it as "bacterial SSU rRNA". It matches the Rfam family "Bacterial small subunit ribosomal RNA", at positions 28 to 897 of the family's 1533-position model. The record is from RNAcentral.
GACGAACGCUGGCGGCGUGCUUAACACAUGCAAGUCGAGGGUAGCAAUACACUGGCGCAAGGGUGCGUAACGCGUAGAUUAUCUGCCCCAUACACUAACAUAACGCUUGGAAACGGGUGCUAAUAUUAGAUGAGGUGCUUCGGCAUCAAAGUUUCGACGGUAUGGGAUGAGUCUGCGUCUGAUUAGCUAGUUGGUAGUGUAAUGGACUACCAAGGCGACGAUCAGUAGCUGGUCUGAGAGGACGAUCAGCCACACUGGAACUGAGACACGGUCCAGACUCCUACGGGAGGCAGCAGUGAGGAAUUUUGCGCAAUGGACGAAAGUCUGACGCAGCGACGCCGCGUGUGGGAUGAAGGGGCUACGCCCUGUAAACCACUGUUAGAUGUGAAAAAAAGAUAGCUUUGCUGUCCGGGAUUGUAACAUCAAAGAAAGGACCGGCUAACUACGUGCCAGCAGCCGCGGUAAUACGUAGGGUCCGAGCGUUGUCCGGAAUUACUGGGUAUAAAGGGUGCGUAGGCGGGCUUUUACGUCAAGGGUUAAAGACUUCAGCUCAACUGAGGGAAUGCCUUUGAAACGGGAAGUCUUGAAUGUAAGAGAGGUAGGUAGAAUUCCUGGUGUAGCGGUGAAAUGCGUAGAUAUCAGGAGGAAUACCAGUGGCGAAGGCGGCCUACUGGCUUAUUAUUGACGCUGAGGCACGAAAGCGUGGGUAGCGAACAGGAUUAGAUACCCUGGUAGUCCACGCCCUAAACGAUGUAUGCUUGGUGUUAGAGUUUACUCUAGUGCCGUAGGAAAUCCGUUAAGCAUACCACCUGGGGAGUACGAUCGCAAGGUUGA